GCAAGUGCCUAAAGACGAGCUCGCGCCUGAUUAGCUAGUUGGUGGGGUAAAGGCCUACCAAGGCGACGAUCAGUAGCUGGUUUGAGAGAAUGAUCAGCCACACUGGAACUGAGACACGGUCCAGACUCCUGCGGGAGGCAGCAGUGGGGAAUUUUCCGCAAUGGGCGCAAGCCUGACGGAGCAAUACCGCGUGAGGGAUUAAGGCCUGUGGGUUGUAAACCUCUUUUCUCAAGGAAGAAUCAAUGACGGUACUUGAGGAAUAAGCAUCGGCUAACUCCGUGCCAGCAGCCGCGGUAAUACGGGGGAUGCAAGCGUUAUCCGGAAUUAUUGGGCGUAAAGCGUCUGUAGGUUGUUUAAUAAGUCUGUUGUUAAAGACUGGGGCUUAACCCCAGGAAAGCAAUGGAAACUGUUAGGCUAGAGUAUGGUAGAGGUAGAGGGAAUUCCUAGUGUAGCGGUGAAAUGCGUAGAUAUUAGGAAGAACACCGGUGGCGAAAGCGCUCUGCUGGGCCAUAACUGACACUCAGAGACGAAAGCUAGGGUAGCAAAUGGGAUUAGAUACCCCAGUAGUCCUAGCCGUAAACGAUGGAUACUAGAUGUUGCGUAACUUGAUUAUGCAGUGUUUUAGCUAACGCGUUAAGUAUCCCGCCUGGGGAGUACACUCGCAAGGGUGAAACUCAAAGGAAUUGACGGGGGCCCGCACAAGCGGUGGAGCAUGUGGUUUAAUUUGAUGCAACGCGAAGAACCUUACCAAGGCUUGACAUGUCACGAAUCUCUUUGAGAAGAGAGAGUGCCUUCGGGAACGUGAACACAGGUGGUGCAUGGCUGUCGUCAGCUCGUGUCGUGAGAUGUUGGGUUAAGUCCCGCAACGAGCGCAACCCUUGUCUUUAGUUACCAUCAUUCAGUUGGGGACUCUAGAGAGACUGCCGGUGACAAACCGGAGGAAGGUGAGGACGACGUCAAGUCAGCAUGCCCCUUAUGCCUUGGGCUACACACGUGCUACAAUGGCUAAGACAAAGAGCAGCAAGCUUGUGAAAGUUAGCAAAUCUCAUAAACUU
This 1055-nucleotide ribosomal RNA is filed under the name uncultured marine rappemonad. Its description in RNAcentral is "bacterial SSU rRNA". It matches the Rfam family "Bacterial small subunit ribosomal RNA", at positions 211 to 1283 of the family's 1533-position model. The record is from RNAcentral.